Caretta caretta (loggerhead turtle) is the source of this 921-nucleotide long non-coding RNA. RefSeq lists it as uncharacterized. The record is from RefSeq and is a predicted model, not a curated record. NCBI's taxonomy places the organism in Eukaryota, Metazoa, Chordata, Testudines, Cheloniidae.
AUUUCAGGAAAAUCUGAACUGGAAAGGAUUCCAAGACAUGCAUCAAAUUGUUUUUCAAACAGACUAGAUGGCUCGGGGACUGGUAAAGGGUUACAGAGCCUUUCAUCUUGACAUGCUGGUUUGAAUCAAAUCUGGGUCUGUAGUGACUGAAAGUUAUUACUGAUGGUUGCUUAGUAGCCUAGGAGAAAUGCACUAAUGGUCUCAGUCUAUUUACACAUCAUGAAAACCAUAAUCUCAGCUGCAACUAAUUGAUCAUCAUCAAGGAGCCAGAGGCACCACAGACUCAAGGGGCAUCAAGACCACACUAUCUUCUGACCUCUAGAACUGGACCCUACAGGGUUAGAUGUUCCACAGGUGUGGAGGGGUACCUCAAGGUUCAAAUGACAGCAGUUGCAGAUGAAAGACAGAUGUAAACACUGUAUUUACAGUUACAACAGAAAGGAAGAGGCUUAUCCGUGCUUGGCUGGUGGAACUGAAUAGACCAGUGAUACUCGGACCUCAGUGGUUCAAGGAGCCAAAUUAGCGAUCAACAUUACCCAAAAGAGCCACAGAAGCCCAGGAGAUCCAAUACCUCCUGUCUACUCCAGGCAGGAGUGCAUCUAGUGCAUGGAGCUUGCACAGUCAAUUGGGCAGCUGCACACAACAGAGGAGAGCUACUAGAUUGAAAGGGAGGACUGAACAACUGGUGCCCUCUCUCCCUCACCUGGAGCAGACUUUUAGGAGGGACUGCUCCAGUGGAAUCUGAGACAGUCUUUGAUGGCUUAGAGGACAAAUGAACUCUCUUCAUUUCAACAGACCCCGGAGUGCAAUCUCCUAUAGAUGGCUCACCUGCAGAAGGAGCAGGAAUUUCUUCUCUCAAAAGAACUUCAGAGUCUGACGUGCCUCUCAUGAACAUCUCCAUUAAAAAUAGUUUCAACCAUG